RNAcentral lists this long non-coding RNA (30019 nucleotides) under Ananas comosus (pineapple). RNAcentral describes it as "long non-coding RNA (ACOM_LNC005566)". The record is from RNAcentral. Lineage: Eukaryota; Viridiplantae; Streptophyta; Magnoliopsida; Poales; Bromeliaceae.
UCUCUCUCUCUCCUUACACGGAACUAUAUAGAGGGGAGUGAAAGAGAUACAAACGAGGCAAGGUAAAAAUACUAAAAAGCCCCUCACCUACUCUGGUGUACCGGUACACGGGAUCGCGUACCGGUACAGGAAGCUAACCCGAGAGCAGUACGCGCUCAGCCAGUAUAGCGUACCGGUACACCUCGCUGGCUAUACCGGUACAGCCAGCAGGAAAAUCUGCUAUUUCGCAGAUUUCUUCGCUGAAGGCUGCUCUCGCGUCCGACGGAGUCCGUUUUGCGUCUAUUUGAUGCCAACGCGACUCGGGCUUGUCCCGACACUCUCCAGAGCUGUCGACAAGCCCCCACAGCCAGACACCAGGGAUCUCACAGUAUAGGGGGCCGAGAAUUCAUGUUUUAUACCGUUUGAAACACAGAAAUCAACAAAUUUAGAAUUUAUGAAUUCUCCCCCUUGAUCGCUUCGAAUGCGUAUAAUUUUAUCAUUUCGUUCAGUCAUAAGACGGAGACAGAUUUCAGAAAAAGAAUUAAAAGUAUCAGCUUUUUCUCGUAAGAAAGCACUCCAUACAUAGCGAGUAAAAUCAUCAACAAUAAGCAGAAUAUAACGUUUUCCACCCAAACUUUGAAUCCUAGAUGGUCCCAUCAAGUCCAUGUGAAGUAACUCUAGAGGUUUAGUUGUCCCUAAGUGGUUCAAGUUCUUAUGUGUGGAUCUAGUUUGUUUCCCUAAUUGGCAACCCCCACACACAGUGUUCUCUUUAUAGUCAAUCUUAGGUACACCUCUAACUACCUCCUUCUUGGUGAUCUUAGAUAGCUCCUUAAAAUUGAUGUGACCUAGUCGUUCAUGCCAUAAAGUUUCAGUUUCUAAUGACGCUAGGUUACAAUGUUCAGUGGCCGAACUAGGAACUACAUAACAAUUAUUCUGAGAUCUAAUGCCCUUUAAGAAUAAAUUGUCAUCACGAGUCACAUGGCAUUCUUUAUCAGAAAAGUUCACCGAAUACCCAUCAUCACACAAUUGACUUAUGCUUACGAGAUUAGAUUUAAGCCCUUCAACAUAAAAAACAUCAUUCAACGUAGGACCGUCUGAGAUAGUCACUGUUCCUUUUCCAACGAUUUUUGACGAUCGACCGUCUCCAAAAACAACAAGUCCUCCGGAGAUUUUGGUCAAAGAAGUAAACCAAUUUUUAUCUCCGGUCAUGUGACGGGAACAGCCACUAUCCAGAUACCAAGAUGAGUUAUCGUAAGCAUGAAGUGAAGUGUGAAUGACUAGGCAUGGGAAGAGUUCACCUUUGCGCACCCAAACCUUACGUGUUUUGGGUUGUGUCCGUUCGCUUGCUUUUGUUGAUCGUGGCUUGUCGACGAUUUGAAUUGACUUCCCCUUCAUGUCCUCCUUCUUUGGUUUCCAUGCUUGUUUUGCCUUUGGCUUUGGAAUAUUUGGUGUCCGAAUUUGGCUCUUCUUUUGUUCUAUUUUCUUUGGAGUCACAAUUGACUUCAAUGUCGUUCUAGGGUCACUCUUCAAGAGAGCUAUUGAGCUCUUUCCCUUUUGAAAGCAGACUUUCUUUAUGUGUCCUAAAACACCACAAAUAUGACAAGUUUUGUUAGUCAAAUUGUGUUUAGGAGAGACAAACUUACCAUAAAGUUUAGGUACAGCAGUCGACGAGUUUCCAUCAUCCUUCUUCAUAACUUGAUCAAUAUAUGUCCGUUCAUAACCAAGUCCAAGUUUAUUGGUUUGACCAAGUCCAAGCAUCUUGUCUAGUUUGCUCGAGCCAGAUGAAAAUUGGUUCAAAUCUGACUUCAGUUGAAUGAUCGUCUUGGUGAAUUCCAUAUUUGCUUCUCUAGCUUCUGAGUUUUGCUUGGUAAGAAAAUUGAUGUUCUCCGCUUGAGUCUCCUUUUCUUUUUCAAGUAACGAACACUUCUCAAGCAAAGAAUUGUAAGCCUUGGUCAACCCAUCUCUCUCUUGUUCUAAAUCCUUUGUUAGAGAGACCAACUUUGAAUUUUCUUGUUCCAACUCAUGUAGACUACGCCGAAGUCUCUUGUUGUGUUUAGCCAUCUUCUUUGAUUCAACAACUAAUUGUUGAUAUGCUGCGACCAUGUCAUCUUCGUCUGAGUCUUCAUCCGAUGAGUUCUCCGAAGAUGACUUCUCUUGUAUAGAUGUCGUAGAAAUCGAGUCAGUAGAUGCUAGACACAUGAACGUUGAAUCCUGUGCAAACAGUGCCGUGGCAUUUACAUCCUCUUCGCUUGAAGUAGAAUCGUCAGAUGAGGAGUCGUCCCAAGUCAUAGCUUGCAUAGCUUUCUUCUUCAACGUCUUUUUAUUAGGACAGUCAGACGCUAUAUGGCCAAAGCCCCUACACUUGUAGCAUUGGAUUUGACCUUCACCGCUUUUCCUCUCUUUUGUGGAGUCCUUUUGAGAGUUAUCAGAUUUUCUGUAUUUUGACGAAGAAGAAGAAGACGGACCCCCUUUAGAUUUGUUUGUCUUUGAUGAAGUAGACUUGGGAGGAAACUUCUUUCUAAAGUUCCGACGGAACUUCUUUGUUAGAAGUGCGAGUUGUUUCUCAAAGUCCUCCAAGCUUUGCUCCGACUCUGAAUCUGAUGAGGUUGACGAGAUAUCUCCUUUUGUUGAUUUUAGAGCCAUGCCUGAGGCUUUAGAAAAAGACUUGGAAGAAGACGAAUUAGAAGGAAAAGUCAUUUCAUACGUUUGAAGAGCACCAACUAAUUCAUCUACUUUGAGUUCAUCCGGAUGUUUUACCGUUUUAAUGGCCGCAACCUUGGGACAAAAACGUUCGGGAAGAGUUCUCAAAAUUUUUCGAACGAUUUUUGGUUCAGAAAUUUUUUCACCCAAAUUUGCACAAGUAUUAACAAUAUCUUGAAGACGAGUGUAAUACUCGGUAAAGGUUUCAUUUUCUUCCAUACGAAUAGAAUCAAAACGACUAGUCAACAUUUGUAAUUUCUGAACCUUUACCAAGCUUGUACCCUCGUGAGUGAUUUAUAAGGUGUCCCAAAUUUCUUUGGCGGUUUCACAUGCCGAUACUCGUGAAAAUUCACUUUGAUUCAACGCAUUGAACAAAGCAUUGAUACCCUUCCCAUUGAACGAAGAUAGUUCAUUUUCGUCUUUUGUCCACUUAUUUCUAGGUUUCGGACCGGUAACAUUCUCGACCACUUCAGUAGGAUGUUUCCAUCCGAAUUCAACGGCUUGCCAAACCCUCUCGUCGAUAGCAAUAAGAAACGCCCUCAUACGGACUUUCCAAUACGCGUAGUUAGUGCCAUCGAAGAGAGGGGGUCGAUUAACGUUGCCGCCCUCGGCCAUAGAUUACAACCUAUACCCGCUCUGAUACCACUUGUAAGAUAUGAAUCCCUAGGAUCUAAAAGGUAAAAGACACCUAGAGGGGGGUGAAUAGGUGUAAACGGCAACAAUCUCGAAACUCGAUGCAAAUUUAAAAUAGAAUGCGGAAAAAUAAAAUCAGCACACCGAGAAUUAACGUGGGAAAACUCCAAACCGGAGAGAAAAACCCACGGGACCAACCACACAAAGAAAUCCACUAAGAAAACAUGAGUACAAGUGAUUUAUCAAAAAUACAAGACUCGAAAUACCGAAUUCUCGUUGUAGAAUAUCUUUGCCAGUCCUCGAUCGCUUGAAAUCCUCCAACCGAUCACACUGCAACCUAGCAGCGUCAACUGCUCAUCCCUCGAAGCGUCCACCGAAUCGCUCGCUUCACCGAGAUGCAGUGCCGACCUCCUCCGGCUUGUAGAAUUGAAGAUUUGUGGUGAUUUAACUUUUGAAAAUAAGGCUAUGAGAGGUUACUUUAAAUAAUACAUACUACUUGAUUUGUAGGAAGUACCGAGUAAAAACGAAGAAUAACGAUGUUGAUUGCUUUGAACUCAUUCAUGGUAAAUGAGAGCAUUGAAAGAGAGAGGAGAGUGUGUUAGGUUUGGAAUUUGGUAAAAUAUUCAAAGCCUCAAUUUGAGACGACGGCCACAUAGCUUAUUGAAUGUUAGAAGACUUAGAAGUAGAAUGGAUGCAAAAGUCGAUUUUAAAAACCUUGUGUCGUCCUCAGAGACGGGUGCGCUGUCGAGGAGACCGGUCUGUCGAGAGAACCGGUCUCUCAAGUGAGGAACGGUCUCCUGCGGUUGAGCCAAAAAACCAACUUCAGGAACGCCGGUCUCUCAAACUUGGACCGAUCCCUCGUCGGCGCACGAAGAUCACCAAGGUUCGGGAACCGGUCUCUCAUCACAGGGGACCGGUUGCAUCAAGGUUUACGCAGUGAGGACCUUGGGAGAACCGGUCUCUCCAUUUCAGAGACCGGUCCCAGAACACAAGAAAGUUCAGAAAAUUUGUUUAAAAACAAUCUAAGCCUUCUGAACUUAUUUUAAUCAUGUAUCUUCACCACAAAUGAUCUUUUCUACAUACCUUAGGUGUCGAUCUUUCCGAAUGAGUCUUUGUCCUCCAAUUUGAAUCUUUUCUCAAAAACUUCUGCGAUCAACUCUUCCAGACUCCAAACAACUUUACGAAAUUCGCCAACCUAUAAAAUCCUUAACAUCUUUUUCUCGAUGUUUUUCAGAGCCUUCCGCGCAUGGGGAGGCCAGGGAUCGCGGAAAGGGUACCGCCUCGGGCUAGCGUGCUCGCCGAGGGAUCGUUCGAUACUCUCAUUUUUUUUUUCUUUUUGUGAGAGGUUGAGAGUUUCACCAUUGUACUAGAGACCACCAUUUUUGUACCUUUGAGACUUUUAUUGUACUACUUUAUGGUUUACUUUUAUCGUUUAGUUGUAUCCUUUUUCUUUUGUUAUAGAAAGUAGAAUCAUACUGCUCUGAUAUCAUUAGUUGUUGCUCUUUCCUUUCGGCUAUGUUUCUUGCUUUACUUCCGCUUUUAUUGUAGACGCCUUAUAUGUGCAGACAUAUGGCGGGUCUGGGCGCGCUACCGGGAGGGCCUCUGCCGGUCCCGGGGCGUGACACCGACGCCCGCGCCCGCCCGUGCUGCCACGUGGGCGCGACCCACACCCAGCGCCCGUGCGGCCCAGGAGAGUGGGGAGAGGGAGAGAGGGGAGGAGAGAGAGAGAGAGAGAGCCGGGGGGGUGCGCGCGACCAGCGCCUCGCGCACCCGCGAGAGGGAGAGAGAGAGAGGGAGCCUGGGACUGGUGUGGGGAGAGAGAGAGAAAGAGAGAGCCAGGAAAAAAAGGGGGGGUGGAGAGAGAGAGAGAGAAAAAGGGAGCCGGAGAGAGGGCAAAAGGGAAAGAGAGAGGGAGCCGGAGAGAGAGAGAGAGAGGAGGGUCCCACCGAAGCCCUCGCCUAACACGGGGAGGCUUCGGAGAACUCAGGAUUCAAUAUAUGUAUAGAUCCUCUCCAUCCUGUAUGUAUGAAAGAGAGAAAGGGAAAAGAAGAGAAGGAGAAGAAGAAAAAUAGAAGUUAGAAUCUUCAACUACUCGACGACCCGAUCAAGAUCGCGCACGUAAAAUUUCUUUGAUUUUUCAACUGUGAGGGUAUUAUGAUGAUGGGAGGUUUCAAAAUCAGUUUUUUCAUAGGGAUUUGAUCACAGCGGUUAUAGGGGAUGAGUUUUUGUUGGAUUUUGUGAAAAUCAAGUUUCUACAACUGAUUUCAAAGCAUUUAGGUGCCGAUUCCGCGUGACUUUCGUAGAGAAAAGUUUUAUGCAGUUUCGGAGUGCGUUGGCUGUUGUGAAAUCUGCAGGAUAGCAGCAGCAUGCGCAAAUAGCAAUAGUAUGCGCAAAUAGGAGCAGCAACAUCCUGUAGUUGCAAGUUGCAGCAGCUGGCAGCAGCAAAACUGCAGCAGUAGUGGGGGAGCUUGAUCAAACGUAAUUGGAGCCUCCAGCAGUGAAAUUGAUGCUUAAAUUGUGAAAUUGAGGUUUGUUUAUUAAAGAGGGGAGUAGUGGAGAUCAGCCCACACCUAAUACCUGCUGGGAAUUUGAGGUAAGUUGGUUGGAAUAUUUAAAUUUAGAGUUUGAGCCGUAUUAAAAGUGAUGUUGGAGUUUCGUUGAUUCUUUUGAUCCGAUUUGUGAAACUAAAAUUGUAGGUGCCAAAUUGAGCUCCUGUUGGUAUUCUAGUAAGGGAGAGGAACUUGUGGACUUGUUUCUUCAACCAAAUUUUAGGUUAGUUUCUUUAAGCUUUUGAGCUGAAUUGUGGAGAAUAAUGAAGUUCGCUGAUUUUUUUUCGGAUCCGAUUCUUCUACCUAACAAAUUGCAGAAUCCUUGCUCGCUCCUACUUCAAUUCUAGCUGGUUGGGAGCUGUCCCUAGCUGAACUUAAAGCUUAGUAAAGCUUAAUUUAAUGAAAAUCUAAAAUUUUAGCCGAAAGGGAUUUCUUUUAAGUAACUUUUUUGGACUUCAACCGACCUAGCAGGUUUGAAACUAGGUUGCCGGAUUUUCUGAGUCACUACUAGUUCCUUGAGCUGAGGGGAGUGAUCUCGAGUUGGUGGAAUUCUUGUCUUGGUAGGAUUAGCUAUCGAGGUGGGUUCCGUGUCGCCGAAAACAGCGAAUUUCCUUCUAUGUCUAUUUGUAUGCAUAUGUAUAUUCAUAUGUUUAUAUAUGCUGGUAGAGUGUAGUAAUGGCAUAGAAGUGAAUAGAAAGCCUGGAUAACAUGAUGUAUUCUUGAGGAUACUAAUUUAAGCUAGAUUGUAUGACCAAUAGGCUAAAUGGCUUUUCACAAUGAAUUCCUUCUCACGUAAUAAGUUACAUACACUAGUGUAGGCUGAGAGGGGUCGUUGAUAUUACAUGCAUUAUGUUUGAUAUAUAAUUGAUGAUUUUAGUUCUUUUGAUAUUAUCAAGUUUCUUUUGUUAAUAUACUAUAUAUGAGGUAAUGCCAAAAGGGUCCAUUAGACAUUGACAUAUAUAUAUAUCGAUUAUUGCUCUCUAUAUCCUAAGAUUGUGAUAAAGGCCGUGGAUUAGCGUCGUAGUAAUGGGCAAUGUUUUUGAGAUAUUAGGACAUAUAUGAGUAUGCCAUUGUGAUUAGUGAGUUGAUAGGCUCUAUGAUCGUGCCGAUGGCACAUGGAUCGAUAUUAGUGAUCUUUUUGAUCAUCGCAUAGACCAUAGCCUGCAGCCCUAUAUUGAGCUUGACAGUGAUACGUGCUAUGAUACUCGGUACGGGUCCCUCCCCUCGAGUGCCGCUCUGGAUGCUGGCUAGUGAUAGCAAAGACAGUAGCCUAGGUGUUGCCGUCACACCUACGGGAGUGUGUCCAUGCACUAGGCAGGCGCAGGCUUGACCGAACCUAUGAGUCCGUCGUUGCGAUUGGGUACUAUUACAGCAUUUGUUUAUUAAUAUUAGCAUUGAUGCAUGCUUUAGUUUCCUUCUUUCCUUUACAUGUAUAGAGGCAUGAUAGUUCAAUAGUUAUAUAUCUGUUCAUUUUGUGCUCAGUUAAUCAUUUUCUAGCACACUUUAUUGUUCUUUUAUCAAUCUUGCCUCUAGUAGACCUAGUAGGAAGGUCGUGGUUGUCGUCGACCGUAUCCACUAGGAACUGGUGUUUAGUAGUUUUCACGCCCUUUUCUGGUUUUCUUUUCAGAAACAGCUGCACCUUCUGUUAAUCGAGAUAAGAGAAUCGUGCCUAGAUAGCACUUCCUACCAGUGUACUUGAGCGAUAGAAGGACCACCAGCUAGAUGUUUUAGUUUAUAGUAUACAUCAAAACUGGCGAUGGCCAGAGCUUUUUAUUUGUACAUUUAUCUUUCUGGUCGGCUGAGACUACAUGAUGUUGUACAGUGAUGUAUAGUAGUUUUGUUUAUAGUGCUCUGAUCCAUGUAGUUCGUUUAUUUAGUGACCUUCUUAUUGUUCUUGUGAUUUGGAAAAACUUUCUGUUGUGAUCUCUAGAAUUAUUUUGCUAGUAUUAUGUUACGUUGGUGCUUUGUCCGGACAAGGAAAACUUUGUCCGUUUGGCGGGUCUGUUCACAUCCCUGUGGGCCUCCGCUGUGGAAUUGGGGCGUGACACGAACACAGUUACACCCUCUGGUAGCAUGACCGAGAUUGCAUGACCUAUCACACCUCUCAGUUGUGCAAGGCACUGCUACUGGGCUGGUAGGUGACCAAGCCCAAACAGAACAUCAACCAUAUGCAGUGCUCAAAGAUCAACUGCACAAGUACCACAUGGGAACUACCCAGGCCACACCACUAGUCGAAGAUGACCACAACUCAAGCCUUUCCACACGACAACCUAUAAAGAUUAUCUCGCAGAAAAUACAAUCCUAAUACUCCCAAGAAGGAUAGUGCACUUCGUCCAAACUUUCAACACUACAUCUGCAGCCAACGUACUCAUAAAAAAAAGGCGAAUUACCCGUGGAUCCAUCGCCAACAACAAGUUGGAGAAGUGACACGAGAACCAAACCAACCGUUACAUCUAUAUCGCACCAGAGUGCACCGAAACACCAUCAAAACCUCGACUUUGCAAGCUGAUUUUCGAAGCUAGACUAGCCUUUGAGCCUACUCCCUAGGAGUCCUACGGCUCACCACAACAGUAGACGAUAGCCCGCGACAUAAAGUCGCCACACGCACAAGCCAAUGCGAUUAAAAUAAGAUUCCCAAACUUCACCUAACCAGCUGCUAACCCUCCGAGAUCCUCAAGUAACCCUAUAGAGUAGCUCGUGACAUGCCAAAAGCCCACCGAUCCCACAACACAUCAAUCAAGGUGUUAGGGUAGCCGCACAUGAUUUGUGCACCACAAGGACCCGCACCAAAACCCCGUCCCAAAGCAUUCUCAAAACACGCCUACCAGACAUGUGAAUCGGCAAAUAGUCAAAGCACCUGCACUGAUAAUUCAGAAAGUGACAACCUCACCGUACAAUCCACGUGCACAACUUGACUAGGACAUAAUUAACGAGUCAGGCGAACCCACUCAAAAAUACUAGCGCUGACCAUACCGUCCCGCAUGAGACUAUACUAAGUCCUACCAUAACCUGGAUCCGUCUCCCAACCCUAAUAUCGGGAGUAAUGCCACCGAAGCUAGGCGGAACAAAUCUCACCAACUCGUAGCAUCUGCUCCAAAACUGGGUUCGCUCCUCCCUCCGUGACACUAUGCCACCAAUAAAGAAUAGGGGGAUGGGGUAGGCGUCAUAGCCCUAUUCAACAAGCCUGGGAAGAGCAUUACCCAUAUCGCAGCCACACAAGCGGCUGGUAACGAAGCCUAGGGCUACACUUUAGCAGCUCUCACAGUAGCAGCAGUCGAAACUGCUCUAAACACCGUCUCUACGAAGAUGCUCACAGUAGCACUCGUGCUCUAUGUAGGGCGUGUGGCUUGGACACCAGCAGCCGAGAUGAUCGUCUAGGCCCAAAAAGUAAUAUCACCUGGCCCCUCAAGACCUCAUCUGACGGGAGUGGCUCCACCCGGUGAACAUCACCCCACCACUAGAUGUCUUUAUUGGUACACCGCCACCAGUUCCAGCUAAGACACAAGUCUGUGCGGAAAUCAUAACACACACGGAAUAAAAACCAUUCACCUCGAGACUAAUAAAGCUCGACCAGAACAUCGGAACUCAAUCCCAAUAAUCCCGUACUAGCGCACCUAUACAUCUUAGAUCUUCCUAUGGGUCAACCUAACCAGUGGUUCAAUUAAACAUCUGUGCGUGAAUGUGUAGUUGCAGCUUUGCUCUGAUACCAUCUUAAUCUGUCACGUCCCGGGGCCUCUUUUGUAAAGCUUUUUUUAAAGAAAAGUCCAGUUCGAAAGUAAAGCUAGCGAAAAAUGUCUCUAUUUUUUUUUUUUUGAAAUACAACUUGCCAUUGGAUAGAACAGACCCGCCACAAAUACAGGUUUUUUCUUGUCCGUCCAGACAGAAUCUUCCUUGUAUUUUCACGGCGUACCACUACACAAGUUGUUGCAACACUAACAUUCAAUCACACAAACAACAUUCAUAAUGCAGAUGCUUACGAUAAUCAAUCAAUUAGCAAUCCUUGCGAUGGUGCAUGCUCUAAGCACUCCGUAGGCGAAGGAUGGUGCAAAUGCACAUUACAACAAUCAACUCUAUCAUUUACAAAUGUUUUCCGCCCGGAAACUAUAUUUUGAAAUACUAAGAAUCGAUAAAAUCGUAAAAUCAUUUGAAAACUGUCUCCCACACGAAAACACAUUUUUCGAAAACACCGACUACCUCGAGGGGUAGAAAACCACGUACGAUAAAACCGAAAUAAUAUAUCACCAGGAAUCCCAAAAGAAUUACUACUUCAAAUACUUGUAAUUAAAAGAUCAUCCACAACAUAGACUAUUCAUGGAUUGACAAUCAAGCACACAGAUAACUGAAUCACAAUUUCUAAUUUAUUAACCAUAAAUGAAAUGGGUCAAAUCGAGAAAACCAUAACCAAUAUAGAUAUGUUGGGACCUCUAGAGCUCGCUAUCUAUCGCAUCUCAUGCACCGUCCCGACUCCUACUAUCGAGAUCACCUAAAAGAGAGGGGUGAGAAACCAAUAAGGGUCUCCCAAUGGGUACUUCAAGCCAACGAGGGCGAGUAUACUCACAGGCGAGAGAAAAACAAUUGAGAUAGAUAGGUAAUCAUGUACAAUUCAAUAAAGAAACACAGAUAAGAACAACAAUAAGCACCUACCGCUAUUGUAAACAAUAGACAUAUGCAUCAACUAUAAAAGAACUGGUAUCCAAACACCUCGCCAUAUAGGUCUAAAGACCGCAGGUAGUGUCGCAGUAUACUCAUCCACCUGACACAAAACCCUAGCUAGCACCUUGCAUGGGCCCACGGGUCGCAGAGACGGCGAUUUUUUCGGGAAAGAACGCCUACGCAAUGGCCAAACCGCUGGUGUACGUGAUGUGCUACAUGAGCCGUGAUGAUCGAUGCGAAAUGCUCAGUAGUCAAUUAAGGCCGCAUAUAGCCAAGAGUAAAUACCAACAUCUAUCCAAACUAGAUCAUCGGAUCGGCGAGCCAAUCAGCAACGAACAAUCAGGUCUCUCAGAUAAAGAUCAUGCGAUAAAUCCAACACCUAUCUACUACAAAUAUGUGAACGAGCAGAAGUAGAGCAGAAAAACUAGAAAUCUACUGGUAAAUGCUCAUCAAUAGUAUGAAAAAUAAUGAAAAAGAGUGAGGGAAGAGUAUCACCGAGCUAGAACUACUGUACCGACUCCAGAUCGAAGCACCUACCUGAAAUCGAAACACCGUCUAUGUAACAUACCGAAUCCCCAAUAAGUUGUACCGAACUUCAGUCAAAUUGACCGAAGUGUGGUGAUGGACGACUUAGUGAGGUUCGUUAAUCAUUUCGAGUGUUUCAGGAGACAUUAGAAUAGUUGUUGGGACCUUGGAGAGCAAGCUAGGAAAUUCCAAGCAAUGUUGUGCUGGAAAUGCUCUCGGGGUCCGGACCCUGAGUGCAAGGUCCGGACCUCAUACGCGUGAAAGGUCAGAGUUGGUCAAACUCUGUUAUUUGAGGGGGCUUGGUGUAAAUGUGCAAGUGGGAAACCUUAUAUGAGGUUGCUAUGUGGUUCUCCCUUUCAUUUCCCUCACACCACCAAUCUAAGAGAAAAGUUCUCUCUCUCUAGAAGCUUCUCUCACUCUCCUCUCUCUCUCCCUUUCCCUCUUUCUCUCUAGGGUUUGCUCCAAGAGUGGAGUUUGGUUGUGACGCACUGGACCUUUGCAAAUUGCGAGGUUCGAGUGUUUGAUCUGUGUGACGAGCCAUCUCAGACUUUCUGAAGGGUCGUAGACAGUGUUCCGACCCAUGGUUCGAGUCCCGAGAAUUGUGGUUUGAAACAGUGUACCAAAACCCGAAAAAUCAGAUUUUGGUUAGCUCUCGGGUUGCCUUCUGAGGGCUGUGUACCGGUACGGGAGUGAUGGCUGUACCGGUACAGCCAUCGACUUUGGCCGCUUCUCAGCCAACCCGAGGCUCGGGCUGGGCAUUUCCGUAGAGGGUGUACCGGUACGCGGGCCCGUGUACCGGUACGCAGUGCAGUGUUUGAACUGUUCGAAACUGCAGGGGGUUUUUCGCAUUUGUGGACUUUUAUAUGUGUCCCCACGCCCCAUGGAGCUCUCCCUGAGCUGGAAACCGUGGAGAAGCAAGGUAGGGAGAACCUCUUCUCCUCCCUUUGGUUUUGAUCACCUUUUUGCUUGGGUUUUGAUGGUUUUUCCCUCUCUUUUGCAUUUUGGAGCUAUUUCCACCAUUGUUGAAGCUUGGAGCUUAGGUUUGGAGCUUGAUUGAGGGAUUAUUCUUGAAGUUUGAGAACUUUGAGCUUGGUUUGAAGCUUCUAAGAGGUAAGAGACAAGAUCCUUUCCUCUAGAUUUAGUUUUUGUUGGAUUUUACUAGAUCAAACCCUAGAUUUUGGAUUUUAGGGUUAAAUUUGGGGAUUUUCGUUUUGAGGGCUUUUGUAUCAAAUUGAUGGGUUUAGAACCUUUGUUUAGGUUAGAUUGGAAGGACUCUAGCUCCCAUUUGGAGAUUGUGAGAGCUUCCUUCGCAAUCGGUGAGUUUUCGUCUACCCUAGCCCUAUAUGCUUAAUGAUUGAGCUUAGCGUCGUUUGUUUUGACUAGAUGACACUUGUUCUUGUACCUCUAAGGUACUAGGAGACUAGAGGACACCCUCGUUGGAGCGCACGAGGAGUUUCGUUGUCAUCGGUGGGUUUGGCUUCCUUGAAAUCGGAGGAAAUUCCUCCUAAGUGGUUAUAUGCUUUCAUUCUCUUCGAAUUCAUGCAUAUUCAUGUUUAGUAGCAUUUAUGGGAGUUUUGAAUGCUUAGAACUCAUAUGUUAUGCAUCAUGAAAGUUACUCUAUAUAGUAGAGAGGCAAGUGAGCUUUGUUAAUAUGCAUGCGACGAAUACUCUAUGAGAUGAUAGGAAAUAAAGUUUCAUUCUUCGAUUUUGACUAGAAAUUAUAAGUUCUUGAACUUAUUAUCCAUGUUGGGACAAAAUGAGCCAUAGUGUCAUAAAGAGGCACUUGGACUAGAGAAUUAUUAAACUGCAACAUAGAGACUUGAUAAUAGGCCACAUUGACAUCAACUAUAUUCCAUAUUUGAGAUAUGAUGAAAUAGUGACUUGGCCACGAGGACAUUUGCUAUAUACCAUGUUACUGAACAUGAGAAUUUGGUACUUGCGAUUGAUCGUUUGAUUACUUGCCAUUGUGCUCAUUCGCACAUGCUUGUGAGGGUCGCUCCCUACAAGCCGGCACUCCGGAGAUGGCCAUCGCGAUACAUAUUCGCCGUGCGGGAUUGGGCGCCGAAGUGGAUUGCCCUGGGCCAGGCUCACUCCUAGGGUGGGGGUGUUGACUACCACGGGGCCAUUAGGCUCGGCACCGGCCAGACAGCCUACGGGUGGGUCUCAGGGCCAUAGACAGCCUUCGGGUGGGUCUCUUCAGAUUUGACUUGAGUAUUCAUCAUGACAUGUGGACAGAUGAUGACUUAGAGUAUUAUUUGGACAUUGACUAGAAUAGUAAACAACGGAACUUUACUAUUUCGCAUUGUGAACAUUAUGAUAGUUGGAGACUUUUACUUCAUGCAUAGUUGUUUCAUACUUAUGCUAUUUAUGCUAAGUAGAGAUAUCAUGUUGUAUUAAGUUACAUUUUUACUUGCCUUUCAUUUUCCUACAGUUAUAGUCACUGACAUCUAUUGUAGCUUUGGGCCUUGUGGUGCAUUCACUGAAGUCAGUAAUUGCCCACUGGGAACUAUUCUUAAUAGUUCUCAUGCCCCUGUUUCUAUGUUUCCUUUUCAGAGCCUUCGGCACCGGCGGAGGCACGGGAUCGCGGCAAGGGGAUCGCGUAGCUAGCUAGCGAGGAGCGGUACUUUGCCUAGGUGGUUUACUCUUUCCUUUGUAGUUUAGAGAGAGAGAGAUUUUUGUAUUCCUGUAUAGAGACCACCUAUGUAUCUACCUUUAGCACUUGUUAUGGGAUUCCUAUUGUAUUUACUUUAUGUUUUACUUAGUGGAUUUACAGUUUUAUCCUUAUUCCUUGUUGUAGCAUUUAGACAUUUAUUAUGCUCUGAUACUCCUAGAUGUCUCUUAUUACUGCUUUUAUUAUUGUUAUUUUUAGACGCCUUAUAUGUUGUAGGGCACGCGCCGGGCGGGCUUCCGCUGGGUCCCGGGGCGUGACACCGGUCCUGCGCUGGGAGAGACCAGUUCCCGAACGCUGGUUUUUCGGGUUCGCAGCGAGAGACCGGUCCCAGCUGGGGAGAGACCGGUCCCUCUGGGCGAAAACUACCCAGUCCGGGCUGUUGCAAUUUUGGAUUUUUGAGGGGCCUGGUUGGAUUUUGUUAUAUUAGAGGGUCUAUAUGACCCCUCCACCCUCUCUCUUUCUCAUUUCUCUCCUCACACUCCCUCCAUACCCUUGUUAGAGAGAGAAGAAGGAGGAGAAGAAGAAGGAGAAGGAGGGAAGAAGAAGAAGAUUUGGAGCUACUAGUGGACUUGGAGCAUCUUCCUCACCCUCUCAUCUUCCUUGGUGCUUGAAGGCUUGGACUUGGAGCUUGCAAAGGGGAAGAUCUUCAUCCUUUGAGCUUGGAUUGGCGCUUCUUAGAGGUUGGUAGCCCUUUCUCUCCAUCUAGACCUUGGAUUUGAGNAAUUAUUAAACUGCAACAUAGAGACUUGAUAAUAGGCCACAUUGACAUCAACUAUAUUCCAUAUUUGAGAUAUGAUGAAAUAGUGACUUGGCCACGAGGACAUUUGCUAUAUACCAUGUUACUGAACAUGAGAAUUUGGUACUUGCGAUUGAUCGUUUGAUUACUUGCCAUUGUGCUCAUUCGCACAUGCUUGUGAGGGUCGCUCCCUACAAGCCGGCACUCCGGAGAUGGCCAUCGCGAUACAUAUUCGCCGUGCGGGAUUGGGCGCCGAAGUGGAUUGCCGUGGGCCAGGCUCACUCCUAGGGUGGGGGUGUUGACUACCACGGGGCCAUUAGGCUCGGCACCGGCCAAACAGCCUUCGGGUGGGUCUCAGGGCCAUAGACAGCCUUCGGGUGGGUCUCUUCAGAUUUGACUUGAGCAUUCAUCAUGACAUGUGGACAGAUUCUGACUUAGAGUAUUACUUGGACUUUGACUAGAAUAGUAAACAACGGAACUUUACUAUUUCGCAUUGUGAACAUUGUAAUAGUUGGAGACUUUCACUUCAUGCAUAGUUGCUUCAUACUUAUGCUAUUUAUGCUAAGUAGAGAUAUCAUGUUGUAGUAAGUUACAUUUUUACUUGCCUUUCAUUUUCCUACAUUUAUCGUCACUGACAUCUAUUGUAGCUUUGGGCCUUGUGGUGCAUUCACUGAAGUCAGUAAUUGCCCACUGGGAACUAUUCUUAAUAGUUCUCACGCCCCUGUUUCUAUGUUUCCUUUUCAGAGCCUUCGGCGCCGGCGGAGGCACGGGAUCGCGGCAAGGGUGUCGCGUAGCUAGCUCGCGGAGAGUUUCUUUGCCUAGGUGGUUUACUUCUCCGUUUUAUAUUUUGAGAAGCGUGAGGCUUUUGUACCCUGUAUAGAGAGACCACCUUGUACUCCUUUUAGCACUUGUUAUGGGAUUCCUAUUGUACUUACUUUAUGUCUUAUUUAGUGAAUUUACAGUUUUAUCCUUAUUCCUUGUUGUAGCAUUUAGACAUUUAUUAUGCUCUGAUACUCAUAGGUAGUCUGAUAUGCUUGAGGGUGGUCGCUCCACCUUAAGCGGUGCUCUCUGGAGUGGUCACCAACUGGGUUGUAGCGGAAUUCUCCCCAGCAGACGGUCCUGUCGGGUUGUAGUGGAUUCGAUAGAAUGGGAUUUGGUUUGGUGAGUUGGGGUUAACCAUGAGUUAACCAAGAUGAUUGGGUAAAAGCCAAGGUAAAUAUGAGAGACAUGCAUCAUGAGCAUAUUAAUUGUUGUUCAGUUCUUGUACAGGCAUUGUAGUAGCAUAGUAUGGUUUGUUAUCUAUCUCUUCUUUUCCUACAUAUGCCUGAGUAGACCUAGUGGGUGAGUCGGCGGGGUCGGCAGCCGAACCCACUGGGAACUUUCAUUAGUUCUCACACCACUAACCUUGCAGAUCCUAGCAUGAGCGGGGCGGUCGAGGAUCGCGGCAAGGACAUCGCGCCCUAGGUAGAGGCUUCUCGAGUAUAGUUGUACUCUAUUUGCUUCAUCUUUUGUAUUUGAUGAAAAAUGUGAUGAAAUGGAUAUGUAUAAAUGAUGUAAAUGAUAUAUGUUUUGUUGAAGGACAUGUGAUGUAUCUAGAAAAAAAAAAGAAUGUAAAUACGUGGAACGCUUGUAUUUGGUUAAAUGUAAUCAAGAUACAUGUAUGAAUGGAAUAGUAGUAGUACUUUUACUAGCUUGUGGUUGCUUGCCCUCGUGCAAGCUAUGUAUACUCGAAUUUUAUCCUUGUUUGAAUUGCUAUACAUGUUGUGUGGAGCCUUGGGCGGACAAGGGAGGUUCUGUCCGUUCGGCGUCUGUUGACGUGCCCGAACGGACCAAAUUGGCGGUCAUGGGGAGUGACAAUCUAAUGCUCAAGGCGUGCUGGGAUGUUGACUGGAGCUAUGAAAGACUCACCGAGUCAAGAUCCACCAGGUCGACUCCCAAAACACUAAACCUACAACCCCGAAACUGUCCAGAGUUCCAAAAAGUCCACCGAAAUACUUUCGAUUACCACAGAGUGUUUCGAAAGAUACCAUAGUACAAAUCUAGUCACCUGCUGUCCCGAAACGCGCCAACAUAGGUGUUCGGAUAGCAAACACAAGCCCAAGAAAUACAGAUACACCAUAAUGCACUUAAUGCCAUUUCGGAUUUUCGAAAUUGUUAUUUUUAGCGCUAGAACCCUCUAUCGCUCGCUCGUUGUCUUCGAAAACUCGAGACAGCGAGUGUAACCAGCCAAUGAGGCUCCACGACAAACCUGGGGUGAUAACACUACUAACAAGUGGACCCCCACAACGGUUAUCGCGUUCCACUUACAGUUUUGUCGAAAAAUGCUUCGGAAAUCAACUCUAAUUCCGCGAAGGCAUCGGGAGCUUGGACAACCAGUCUAGAGGGUCACAUCAAGUGGCCUCGCGCUGCCCAAACAACCUCCGCUAUCACAAUUAUAGAAAGGCCCCUAAACAAAAGAUAUAAAGCUAAAAUACACAUUAAAAAGGGCCGAUAGAGCACACCGUGCGUCUGCAAGACCAACCGAGGGCACCGGUGGAUAGGUCUUGACGAAGCAAAGCCCGUGCUCGUUAUCCCGGGCAAAAAAAAAAAGCUGAGGAAAGCUCUGAGGCCAAGAUUACUAUAAUUAACUAAAGGCUUCGGGAGCGACAAUGCAAAUACAGCAAGUCGCAGCUCCUUCAACAGAAAUCGAGAUAAGCAUAGUGAUCAGCGACGACUCUAGGUCACCAUGCUCACUUUCCAGAGAGUCGGGGAGUUCCCGGAUGACAGAUACAGUGAGUAGGGUAAAAACCACCUAAUUUCGAGCCAGCAGAGAGCAUCAAGCUCCGGCCUGCUGCCGGCAGCACAGCGGCAUGCGCAGCCGCGGGUAUGGAGGGGAAGGGGAGUGUGGUCCUCAUCUUGGCCGGCGACGGGGAGCAGCGGCGGCGGCGCUGGGAGGAGCUUGGUCUACCCAAGCUAGGGCUCAACCUAGGAUGCGUUUCCUAGUGACGACGGCGGCCGGGGAGGUAAGCAGCGGCAGUGGCGCGUCCCCAUGACCGGAGGGAGGCGGCGGCGCUGCUAAGGGCCGACGGCGGCGGCGGCGCUGUAAAGAGGUGGAGCCGCCACUGCCAGGGAUAGCCCCGAGAUGGCUAUAGAGCCUGCGGCGGCGCUCAGCGGUAACGGGGCUACCGGGGAAGGGGGGAGGAUCAGAGCCUUGUGCUGCCGAAGGUGAGGUCCGUAGGGUGCUGCUCCCCUUCUUAGGUAGCCCGAGCCGAAGGAAAAAAGGAGAGGGAGAGAAAAACUUGAGAGAGAGGGAAAGAGGGCUAUGGCCGUGGUUUGGUUGGUCGAAGGAGGAUCAUCUAUAGCAUACCGAACUCCUAAAGUUGUGAAAUUUUGGUGGGAACUAGCUUAAAAAGCUAUUAAAUAAGUUUCAGCGAAGUUUGGAGAGCAUUUGAGUGUUUUCGAAGCAAACUAGACUUGAAAACGGGCUCCAAAAGUUGAAAUUUGCAUAAGUUGCAGAAUUUGUACUGUGUACCGGUGAUGGAAACUGGGUACCAGUACUGGACUGGGCUGGUACCGGUGACGCGAGCGUGAGUACCGGUACGCAGCCUCCCAGAACGCUAUUUUGAAGAGUAAAAGUGUAAUUUCAGUUGGGGGCUUAUAUAAGGGGGCCCCCAGCCCCUUCCCUCUGCAGAAUGCACGCCCACACACAGGGAGAGACAGUGAGGGAGUGGGAGGAGCUCAUCUCUCUUCCAUUCUUCUUCUUCUUCUUCGACUCGGAGAUCGCGGUGGAGAUCGAGCUCGGGAACUCGUACGGAGCGGUGGUUCGAGCUCUCGGACGCUUGGUGGCUCGGUGUGCUUUCGACUCGAGCUUCAUAAAUGGGUUCAAAGGUUAGGGUUUGUCUGAAAUCCCUUGAAAUGAGGUUCUAAUGAACCCUAGAUGAUUCUAAACUAGGUUAAUCAUGGUUUCUCCAUGUGUUUUGGGUGUUUUGGAGAAAUAGAAAACCUAGGGUUAUGAAUUGGAGAUUUUAGGGUUGAGCUAGGGUUUUGGAUUUAAAUCUUCUAAAUAGAUUCUAGCAAACCCUAGGCUAAUCUGAACUACAAAUGGUAAAGAUUAGCAAGUGGAUUAGGGUUUUGCCAAGGUUUGGAAAACCCUAGGCUAAAAACAGGGGUUUCUUGGUGGAGGGUUCUAAAAAUAUUUUAACCCUUUGGAAACCUAAUUGGGGGUUAGGAAAUCAUAUGAGGCUCUUUGAUUUCAAGUAGAGAGAUCAUUUAGUGGUUCAAGAAUGGUAACGAAGGAUUUUUUGUAUAGGGCAAGGAGAGCUUGGGAGAAAGCUUGGAAGUCCAAGUAGUUGGCCUAAUUGCAAAUGACUACAAUGUCACGCCCUGGGACACAGCGGAAGCUCAUCCGGCACGUGUCCAGACCCGCCAUAUGUUUAAAACAUAUAAGGCGUCUAAACAAAAGCAGCAAGUAAAGGAACAGAAAGGAGACAUCUAGAGGUAUCUGAGCAGAAGUAAACUAGAUGCUGUAACGAAGAAAGUAAAACAGCUACAAUUCCACUAAAUAAAACAUGAAGUUAUACAACCAAAAGUCCAAAAGAACAGAGUAUAAAUACAUCACGGGUGGUCUCUAUACAUGGUACAAAACUCUCUCUCUCUCCCAACAAAACAAAAAGGGAGAAAAGACCACCUAGGAGCAAGCCCGCUCCGCUAUCGAUCCUACGCGACUCCCUUGCCGCGAUCCCGUGCCUCCGCCGGUGCCGAAGGCUCUGAAGAGUAAACCAAGAAACAGGGGCGUGAGAACUAUAAAAUAUAGUUCCCAGUGGGAAAUUACUGUCUUCAGUAUCAUGCUCCACUAGGCCCAAAGUCAAGAAAGGGGUAAGUACAGAUAUGUGUGAUAAGCAAUAAGUGCAAUAUAAAAGAACUACGAACAAUAAGUAAACAUGUAUGUUUCAUGAACUACAAUGCUACUACAUAGCAUAAUAUGCACAAGUAAGAAUGCUACUCUAGCAUGACCAUGAAUAAGCCCAAUAUACACUAUGUCCACAAUGAAACUAGUGAAGAUGUCGUCGUUUACUAGUUGUCCAAGUUCACUUUUCUUUUGAUUAUCAUGUUUCCAGAACUCAUAGGUCCUACGCGUGGGUAGUCCGGCUUCCGCCGUGCCUAAUGGCCCCGUGGUAGUCAACAUCCCCACUUUAGGAAUGAGCCUCCCCGACGGCAACCCACUUCGGCGCCCAAUCCCGCACGGGCGAGCAUAUGUCACAGUGGCUAUCUCUGGAGUGCCGGCUUGUAGGGUGCGACCCUCACAAGCGUGUGCGAAUGAGCACAAAUGGCAUGCAAGCGAACGAACAGGUCUCAAGUCUCAAGUCAUCAUGUCCUCAUAUCUAAAAUAUGGAAAGUGGCAAGUAACACCAUGGCCCAUCGCUAUGUCGUCGUGUCUAAAACACGGAAUAAUAGCCGAUGUCACAUGGCCUACACUAUGUCUCUAUGUUGCAGUUUCACUGUUUACUAAUUUGAGUGCCCCUUUAUGACACUUUUGUUCAAUAUGUCCAAGAGUGAUGUCCAAGUUCCCAAAUAUAUAAUUCUAGCUCAUUUAAUCAUAAGAGACGUAUUACUAUCUCACCAAGAGGGAGUACUACUCAUAUGCAUGCAUACAACACAUAUAGGCUCUACUAUAUAGAGUGAAAUUUCUUUUACACAUAAGGCAUGCAUUUUAGAUAUUCAAAAAUUCACAUAAAUUCUAUCUAGCAUGAAUAUGUACGGAUUUCAAUGAAAUGAUAACCAUAAGCCCAUAGGAGGCAUUUUCCUCCCGUUACUAGAAGACAAACCCACCGUUAGGUCCUAGGCUCUUCGUUUCGCCGAAUGAAGUUGCCCACAACUCUCCUAGCACCCUAAAGGUGUAAAAAGAAGAGUUAAACAACUAAACAAACCAUCUCAAAACUCAAACACUAACCUUUACAAGAAAAGGGCAAAACUCACCUUGUGUGGUGAAAUCCUCUCUUGAUCUCCCAAAGAGAGUGAAAACCCUUCUAAUCCAACCUAAACGAAGGUUCUAAACCCAUCAAUUGAGAUCAUAAAGGCUUAAAACAAAAAUCCCCAAAUAAAACCCUAAAACCCAAAAUCUAGGGUUUAAUCUCAAUAUACUCAACAAAACAUGAAUCAAAAGCAAGAAUCAUGUUACUAACCUCACAAGAAGUCCCAAACAAUGCUCAAAGUUCUCUAGGGUUGGAGUUCUCCUCACAACCAGCCAACCACCAAGAUCCAAGUCUUCUCCCAUGGUGCAAAAACCACCAAAAGCACAAAAGAGCAAGAAGAGAGGGAGAAAGAGAUCAAAAUCCCAUCACAAUCCAUCAAAAAUGGAAAGAAAACCAAGGGGAGGGAGCUCUCACCUGUUCUCCACGGUUUGGGGGGGUUCAAAAGAGCCCUAGAGGGGCUGGGUGGAGUUUUAUAGGUGUUGUAACAAUUACAAAAACACCCCUCCACGAAGCAGUCCAUUCUGCACUGCGUACCGGUACACGGGAUUGUGUACCGGUACACAUCCCACGAAAUGCCAAACCCGAGCCUCGGGUUGGCGCACAUGCUACCUGUGUACCGGUACACGGCCCAGCGUACCGGUACAACCAUCACCCCGUACCAGUACAGCCAUCAACCCUGUACCGGUACACAGCCUGCUAAAGGCUACCCGAGAGCACACUAAAAAUCCAACCUUUCGGACUUUGGUGUUAGGUUUUAAACUUCCAAUCUUGGGGCUCGAACCAUGGGUCGGAAUACGGUCAACGACCCUCCACGAAGUGUGGAAAAGCUCAGAACACAAACAAAUAAUUGAACCUUGCAAUUUGCAAAGGUCCAGUGCGUCACAUACAAGCAAUUAGGAAGCUUAAAAGGUGGGUUGUGCUUCACCGAAGUGACUAGGUCGCUUCCAUAUCAAAGUGGAGUAUGAUUUUCUUGUUGAUGCAUAUAUCACAUAGUGGUAGUUAAUUGCUAGAUGAAUGCAUGAAAUGGAUGUUAUAUGAAUGCAUGAGAUGCUAUGUAAAUGACUGCCAUUGGAUGAAAAUAUAUGCUAGUUGAUAAAUGCAUGUUGGCAUGGUAUAGAAUAUGCUAGAGGAUAUAAAUGAAUGUUGACAUUGCGAGAAUAUGCUAGAUGGUAUAUCAAUGUUAACAUUGUGAGCAUAUGCUAGAUGACAUUUGCAUGUUGACAUAUUGAGAAUAUAUGCUAGAUUAUAUAUGCAUAUGGACUUGGGUCGAUAACUCUAGGUGGAUUAGAGAACUCGACAGUUGGAAAACAAGAACGUGAAAACUAUAACACUCGAUGUGGACAACUAAGAUGUCAAGUAGAUCGAGCGGCAUGAACCUAGUGUUACUAAACAUAGGUUGGACAUGAACCUAGUGUUAUUAAACAUAGGUUGGACAUGAACCUAGUGUCAUUGAACAUAGGUUAGAAUUAUCAUUAAACCUAGUGUCAAAAUCUUGGUGGAAGUGACAUAAAACCUAGUGUGGCAUUGAACCUAGGUUAUGACAUGUAGCAACACCUAGCGUGGUUGAACCUAGGUUGUGGACAUAGUAGUAGAGUGACCACUAGGAUGUGCAUAUAGGGUGUGUGACUACCCUUGAGACUUGGAAAGUGGAUUCCGGAAUUCCAGGACUUGUGAACUCGAUAGUUCUUAGCUGCGGGUGCGUGUGGCAUAUUCCCCUCCCACCGGAAGAACUUCGAGGAUAGGAUACUGGAAGAUUCUUGGCCGCGAGUGCGUGUGGCAUAUUUCCCUCCCACCGGAAGAAUCUUGGAUCGCUAGGGUGCGUGUGGCAUAUUCCUCUCCCUAUCGGGGGUUUUGGGCCGCGGGUGCGUGUGGCAUAUUCCCCUCCUACCAGAAAGAUCCCUGACCAUGGGUGUACGCGGUUCUUCGCGACCCGUUGGGCGAUGUGAUUUGUGGACUUAGGGCCGAGGUGCAUGUGAGACGUCCUUCGCCUCGAGCCCCGCAGAGCGCGGUAUUCCGCAGUCGAUUGACUCGAGGCCGAAUCGGGUGGCUAGCUUGGUUAAGGUAGAUGAAACCUUAAGGGCUAGUGAUAAAUGGCUUGGAUCUAAGGUAGUAGAAACUUUAGAAGCUAGUUGGAUAUGAACCGGAUAGCGAGAUAGGAAGUAGUAUCGGAUGAUCUACUAGUUUGUGCAUUAGUUGCAUGGUUGCAUAAAUUACAUGUUGCAUUUGUGAGGCAUAAGCAUGGUAAAUGUUAGUUGCAUAAAUUAUAUGAUGUUAUAUCUAGCUAUUGGACUAACAUGUUUGGACCUGGCGGGUCGAGCUUUUCCCAUGGGUGGCCGUACCCACUGGGAACUAUGGACAUAGUUCUCACCCCACGUUGCUUUGGGGUUUUCAGGUUCACAUGUGAGCGGCGCGGCGGCGCGAGGAAAGGGCGUAGCUCCGUAGAUAGCGUCCUACCACCGAGACCAGAGAUAGCGGUACCCCAAGUCGGUCUAGCUUAGAGGUAUAGAAAUGAGAGAAACAAACUUGUAACAAAGUUGUAAUAAAUUUGUAAUAACUAGAUUGUAAUUUGGAAAUUGAAUGCGUAAGAUGUAAUAUGCAAGUGCAUGUAAGUUGAAUGCUUGUAAUAGCAUAGUGUUUAUGUUUUUGAAACUUCCUUAUGCAAUCUAUGCUUGAGUAUUGUUCCUGGUAGGAACCUCGCGUUUGUAUGGAUUGUGACGCCUAGGACGUACAGGGGAGACUCUGAGCCCACUAGCAACAAUAACUCGUUGGGCCCAAACACCAGCCCAAAAUGCUUAAGCCUAGUUAUUAUUACUAGUAUCUAAGUUUCUUUUAUACCCAAUCACAUCCCCAUUCCUAUCCGAUGUGGGAUUAUUGGGGUGUGACAGACUCCCCCCGUUAAGGCCUUGACGUCCUCGUCAGUCCAAUCACACACACAGCCCAAGAUCACCAGGUGAUGUGAGACUCGUCUUGCUAGCCUUGUCAUCCAGACCCUGGCAUAGCCGGUCAUCUUGUCAUACAGACUCCGGCAUAGCCUAUCACCUUGUCUUUCAGACUCUGGCUCAGCCGAGACUCGCCACACAUUUUCGGCUGGUGAUUGGCUCUGAUACCAAAUGUAACGACCAAGCCCACUAGCAACAAUAACUCGAUGGGCCCAAACACCGGCCCAAAAUGUUUAAGCCCAGUUAUUAUUACUAGUGUCUAAGUCUCUUAUAUACCCAAUCUGUCACGCCCCGGAACCGGCGGAGCCCUCCCGGUAGCACACACUAACCUGACUGCUCCUGCAGUCCCGGAAUUGCCCCCCUCAGACAGUAUGGGGUUAUUAGGUNUGCGAAAGUAAGGAAGUGUCCUUCACUACUAACUCCCGAUGUUACGUUGUCGGCCGCCAACGUAACCCUCCGCGAAGUUAGAAGCCAUACACUCCGAUCAAACUCUAACUUUUUAGAGUUGUCAUAACCCAAUCAUAAUACUUUCGCUCACGAGUUAAAUAGACCUCGUCUCUCACGGCCUAUUUCCUAUAGUCCAACCAGCCUAAGGUUCGCUAGGUCCACUAAGACUCAACUCUAGGCUCUGAUACCAAAUUAAUCUGUCACGCCCCGGGACCGGCGGAGGCCCUCCCGGUAGCGUGCCCAGACCCGCCAUAUGUCUACACAUAUAAGGCGUCUACAAGAAAAGCGGAAGUAAAAGCAAGAGAUGGAACAAAUGAAAGAAAUGAAGUAACAAGCAACUAAUGAUAUCAGAGCGAGUAAAGUUCUAACAUAUAUACUAAUAGUAAUAGAACAUAACUAAUACCUAAAAGUAGACAUAAGUUAUACAGUAUCAGCCUCUAAUACAAAAAUGGUGGUCUCUAGUACACGGGUAAAACUCUCAACCUCUCCAAAAUAAAAUACAACGAGAGGUAGACCACCUAGCAAGUCGUCCUCGUAGGAAGCUAGCUCGAAGCAACUCCCUUCCCGCGGUCCCUAGCCUCACCCUGAGUGGAAGGCUCUGAAAAACAUCGAGAAAAAGAGGGCGUGAGAACUAUAAUUUAUAGUUCCCAGUGGGCAAUUACUGACCUCAGCUCAUGCUCCACUAGGCCCCAAAAAUAAGGGUAAGCAACGAUAAUAAUAAUGAUAAGCAAUAAGGAGCAUGUAAAUAAACUGCUGAAAGAAAGCACAAUUGGAAUGCUAGUCUACCGUGUCUCAAGUAAACAUGAUGUCAACCAAAAUGUACAUCUAUUCUAUCAUUACAAUUAAGUCCCAUUGGCACUAGUUUAAUGUUGUUAACCUUUGUCAAUACAUGAUGUAGGAGUUCUAUCAUGGCAACCAAGUAUACUACAUGUCUCACACUAUGCUAAAAGCAUGUAAUGUAAUCCAACUACUAAGUCUAUCUAGUAGUGGUCAUUCAUUCUCAACACUGUGUCGAUUUCCGUUUCCAAUUAAGAACCCACCCAAGGUAGUCCAACUUGUGCCGCCUAAGUGCCUGUGGUAGCCCGACAUUCCUACUCUUGGAAUGUGUCUGUCCCACUCGACCCCGUAGGCUUCUCAAUACCGCACGAGCGAACAAUAGUCGCAUAGGCCAACUCCGGAGUGCCGGCUUGUAGGGAGCGACCCUCACAAGCAUGUGCGAAUGAGCACAAAUGGCAAACAAGCAAGGUCAAAGUCUCAAGUACUCAAUCCUCAUGUCUCUAACAUGGUAUGGUCACUAGCAUCCCGACGAUCUAGUUCAAAGUCAUAAUGUGAGGUCCCAACACACACUUGCUUAGUGCCUCUUUAUGACACUUAAGCUCCACAACUAAUCAUGUUCCAAAUAGGACAUUAACAUUAAUGCUCACUAAGCCCCGGGCCCCAAUGCCUCUUCAUGACAUUGGCCCAAUCUCACAUAUCCUCUAAGUCUCUAAGCCUCUCUAGGCUUCCAAAAAUUCCUAAUGUCAUAACUGGUAUAUAGUUUGAAUGCAUGAAAGCAAGGUUCGUUUUCAUAAUAGGGAUUGUAAUUUUCAAGUCUCAUCUAGAAUGCUAGGCCACCCAUACAUGCUCUCUACUAUAUAGAGGUCCCAAAAUUUACUACACAUAACCUAUGCAUGUUAAGCAUUCUAAAAUUCAUAUUAAAUACAUUUAACAUGGAAAUGCAUGAAUUUCUAUUUUACGAAACAUAUUUGUCAAAUAUGAGCGUUUUUCAUAUUGUAUGCUAGGCCAAACCCACCGAACCGUCGCGUAGGGUCUCGAUUCGCCGAACAAGGUUGUCCACGAGUCUCUAGAUACCCUAAAAGUGAUCAGCGAAGAGAUACGAGAGUAUUACGACCAUCCGAGAGAUCAAACAUUAACCUAGGAGCAAAAAUGGCCAAAAUUUACCUCAAGAGUAGAAAUCUUCCCCAAAGCUCCAAAAGAGAGCUAGAACCCUUCCAACCCAAGCCCUAGGAAGGUUCUAAUCCAAUCAAUUUGGGUCCGAAAGCCCUAGAUCAAAAAUGCCCAAAAAUAAACCCUAAACAUCAAAUCUAGGGUUUCAUCUCAAAAACCUAGCAAAACAAGAUCUAGAGGAGAGGAAAUGAGCAACCAACCUCCUUAGAAGCUCCAAUCCUAGCUCCAAGGGUGAAGAUCUCCUCCUAUGCAAGCUCCAAGACCAAGCACCAAGGAAGAAGAGAGGGUGAGGAAGAUGCUCCAAGUCCUCUAAAAGCUCUCAAUCUUCUUCUCCUUCCUUCCUUCUUCUCCUUCUCCUUCUUCUUCUUCUCUAUCAAAGGUGUGGAGAGAGUUGGGAGGAGAGAAAUAAGAAGUAGAGAGGGUGGAGGGGUCAUAUAGACCCUCUAUUACAACAAAAUCCAGCUAGGCCCUCCAAAAAUCCAAAAUUGUAUCAGCCCGAACUGGGCAGUUUUCGCCCAGAGGGACCGGUCUCUCCCCAGCAGGGACCGGUCUCUCGCUGCGAACCCGAAAAAACCAGCGUUCGGGAACCGGUCUCUCCCGGCGCGGGACCGGUCUCUCACUGCGAGGGCGCGUUCGGGAACCGGUCUCGCCUGCCAGGGACCGGUUGCCUCAGGCCGCCUCAACACUGCUCACUGAGGGGACCGGUCUCUCCUUCCAGGGACCGGUCCCCGAGAGUGAAAACUCUCAGAACUUGUCCAGAAUUCCAGUUUUCGAACUUUUUAGGUCGGAAAACAUUCUACGACCCUCCACCAAGUGUGGAAAAGCUCGAAACACAUCGAAACACUCGAACCUCGUAAUUUGCAAAGGUCCAGUGUGUUACACAAUCAUAUCCCCAUUUCUAUCCGAUGUGGGAUUAUUGGGGUGUGACAGAACCCGACCAAAUAGACGGGGCGCGGGGCGUGACAUCAUCGGUGGCCAGGGAAGUGCGCGACGCUGUUAAAGAAGGAUGGGGAGGCGGCUAGGGCUCAGGAGAGCAGAGAGGAGGCUAGGGCUAGGAUUAGGAGAUGAAAACUCUAGAUGCCCUGUUAUAUACAUAAAUGUAUAAUUGUAGGGAAACCCCCGAAAAUCCAAAAUUUCAACUGGGGUCCUUCAUGGCACGUGCAAAAUGAGCUAAUGCACCUCCACAAGCGUUGUCACAUGAAACGAUGCAUAAAAAAUUAGAUUUUUCAUGAAAAAACCCAAUAUGCAAUCUCAACCCUUCCUCGAAUAACGUGCGAUUCUAGACGAUCAAUUCAUCGAAUUUACGAACGGAUCGUGUCGGUACUUCCGCUACUGCCAGACCAUCAAGCCUACGAUUUUGUUUCGCACGAAUCGGUCGUCGAUUCGCCACGAAACCAAUCACUCUCUACCUCCAUAUAUAUAUAUAUAUAUAUAUGUACAUAUAUAUAUAUAUAUAUGUACAUAUAUAUAUAUGUAUAUGUACAUAUAUAUAUAUGUAUAUGUACAUACAUAUAUAUGUAUAUAUAUAUACAUAUAUAUGUAUAUAUACAUAUAUAUAUAUGUAUACAUAUAUGUAUAUAUAUAUGUAUAUAUAUAUAUACAUAUAUGUAUACAUAUAUGUAUACAAAUAUAUAUGUAUACAUAUACAUAUAUGUAUACAUAUAUGUAUACAUAUAUGUAUAUAUACAUAUAUAUAUAUACAUAUAUGUAUACAUAUAUGUAUGUAUACAUAUAUAUAUAUAUGUAUACAUAUAUGUAUGUAUAUAUGUAUACAUACAUAUAUACAUAUAUAUAUAUAGAGUUGAGCUAGAAUACUCUCGAUAGUAAACGAGGCGUUUUACUAUCGAGUUGUUUUCGAUGAUAGAGCUUCCAAAUUGACGAUCGGCUCCGUUGAACAUGAUCUAUANCCCCCCCCCCCCCCCCUCUCUCUCUCUCUCUCUCUCUCUCUCUCUCUCUCUCUCCUCACACAUGCUUCAUGUCUCCCCUGCUGUAAGCAGCUUUCCCUCACUGAAAAGCUACUAACCAACAACCCCUUUGGGAGAGAGAUUGGGGUGAUGAAAUGCUUGAGGAAUCAAAGUAGGGAGGGAUCCAGCAGCUUUAUUUUCCUCCCCUUUAUUUGUGAUGUGAUGAUUUCAUGGUGGUGGUGUAGUAGUAAUCACAAUCACAUUAACCUUUUUCUUUUGUAACCAUGUUAUGUACAAAUUGGAUAUCUCAAAUCUUGAGGAAUAGAUCAAUCAUGGGCUACUAGGGCUGUCGAUGGACCCCGUUAGCCGAUCGAUUUGAAUCUGACCCAAAUCGUACGAUAAUUUGAUUUAUCCUGAUAUGAGUUUGAUAUUUCGACGAUCGAAAGCGAUAUAUGUGCAUAUUUAUUGCAUAUUGUUCUACAUAAUUAUGAAUAAUUAUUAAGUGCUUGAGCAUUUCAUCAAUCUUAAGAAAGAAUGGUAUGAUCAUAUUAUUGCCUUAGAUUAUCCCUUCCUACUAAUGAACACAGGAGAUUGAUGUGAUCGAGCAAGUAGUCUACUCAAGCAUUCAAUUUUCAAGUACAUACCUAUCUUGACAAAAACAGUUGCAAAAUCAUGUAACAAAUGAAUGAGUGUUUAUUAGAUUAGUACACCAUCUCUUUAUCAAGAAUAGAAAGUUCAAUCAACUCCCUCGCAUACUGUUGCAGACAUAUAUAUAUAUAUAUAUAUAUAUAUAUAUAUAUAUAUAUAUAUAGUUGAGCUGUAAUGCUAUCGGUAGUAAACGGGCUCUAUUACCACCCAUUUGUUUUCGAUGAUGGAGCCUUCAAAUCAACGAUUGACACAGUUGAGCAUGAUCUAUACCACUUGAAGUAUCUAGAAAACAAAUUUCAAAUCUUUUCGACAUCAUUAACCUAAUGAUCAAAGGAUUUCAAAAUUUGUAAUUUUAAUGGUAGAUAUGAGGCAUUUUCUUGUUUAACGGUGUAAAGCUAUCCAAAUCAAUUGAAUUUUGGUUAGAAAAUUCUUUAAACUAUUUAGAACAAGAUCUAUACUCUCGAUCUUGAUUAUAAAAUUCUUAUCAUCACUUUUUAGAGGAUAUUCAUUUUCAGCCAUUCAUUUUUUACGCCUACUUGAUGGACAAGAGAACAAUAUCGGAAAAGAAUGAAAUUUGAUUUCUAGAUACUUCAAGUGGUAUAGAUUAUUUUCAACGGUGCUAAUCAUCAAUUUGGAGGCUCCAUCAUCGAAAGCAAAUGGGUGGCAACGGAGCCCAUUUGCUACUGAUAGUAUUCCAGCUCAACUCUCUCUCUCUCUCUCUCUCUCUCUCUCUCUCUCUCUCUCUCUUUCUCUAUAUAUAUAUAUAUAUAUAUAUAUAUAUGAAAUAAAAUUCAAAUUCAAAUGCAAAUUCAAAUUUCAAAGUCUCAGGUAUUACAAUAACCCUAUAAAAUUUUCUAAUUGGGUAAAUAACCCUAUAAAAUUUUUUUUGACAAACUAACCCUUCUUUUACCAUGUAGGAGUCACGUUAGAAUUUUCUUUUAAAGGCGGUGAACAACUCACCGCCUUCAUAAAGAUGGUGAACGAUUUACCGCCUUCCUAAUUUUCCACAAAAGCGGUGAAUCAUUCACUGUCUUUCGCUUAUUUACUGUUUCUUUCUAUAUCCCAUAUAUAAUCAUAACCACCACAUAAAAUUUUCAACAAAUCACAUAUAAUCUUAACAACCUAAAAAUUCUAAUAAUCAAUCUAUACAAUUCCAUAUAAUCUUAACAACCUGAAAAUCCUAAUAAUAUAUUCAUACAAUCCUACCUAUCAAAUAAUCCUAACCACUACCUUCCUAAUUUUUCACAAAAGCGAUGAAUCAUUCACCAUCUUCGCUUAUUUACUAUUUCUUUCUAUAUUCCAUAUAUAAUUCUAACCACCACAUAAAAAUUUCAACAAAUUUUAUAUAAUCUUAACAACCUAAAAAUCCUAAUAAUCUAUCUGUACAAUUCCAUAUAAUCUUAACAACCUGAAAGUCCUAACAAUCUUUUCAUAUAAUUCUAAGGCCAAUUUGCAUAAAAAAUUCACAAGUUUUGGGCUUUUGCAAAACUAGGUCACAUUUUUCAAUUUUGCAGAUUCGGGCCAAAUUUUUCGCCAUCGGACGAAAAUACCCUUAUUCCUUUUCUUUCUUUCUCUUCUUUUUUCUCUCUUCUUUUUUUUUCCUUUGUUAUUUUUUUUGUCGAGGACGUGCUCCAGAUCGCCCUCCCCAUUGCGGACGAGUUCCACUACCUCCUCCUUCGCGGUGCCCUCCCCAUCGCCUCCUCCUCCUCCUCCACCGUCUUCGCGGCCCUCAGCGAU